Molecule: long non-coding RNA, 7308 nt
Filed under: Sus scrofa (pig)
Lineage: Eukaryota; Metazoa; Chordata; Mammalia; Artiodactyla; Suidae
Description: lncRNA (ENSSSCG00000061293.1)
Source: RNAcentral
AUUCUUUUCCCAUAUAGAUUAUCACAGAACACUGGGUAGAGUUCUCUGUGAUAUGCAGCAGGUCGCCAUUGGCCAAUCAUUCCAUAUACCUAAGUGUGCAUAUGCCAAUCCUCAAACCCAGUCCUUUUGCUCCUUCCCCCCUACCUGUCCCUUUUGUUAACCAUAAGUUUUUCAAAGUCUGUGAGUCUGUUUCUAUCUGCAUAUAGGUUUUUAUAUUCCACAUAUAGGUAUAUAAUAGGACAUUUGUCUUCCUCUGACUAACUUCACUUAGUAUGAUAAGUUUCUAGGUCCAUCCAUGUUGCUUAAAAUGGCAUUAUUUCAUUCUUUUUUAUGGCUAAGUAAUAAUCCAUUGUUUAUAUGUACCACAUCUGCUUUAUCCAUUCUUCUGUUGGACAUUUAGUUUGCUUCCAUGUCUUGGCUAUUGUAAAUAGUGCUGCAGUGAACAUUAGGGUGAGUAUACCUUUUUGAAUUAUGGUUUGAUAGAUGCCCAGGAGUGGGAUUGCUGUAUCAUAUCUAGUUAUAUUUUUAGUUUUUUGAGGAACCUCCAUACUGUUUUCCAUAGUGAUUGCACCAAUAUGCCUUCCCACCAACAGUGUAAGAAGGUCUCUUUUUCUCAACACCCUCUCCAGCAUUUAUUGUGUGUAGACUUUUUGAUGAUGGCCAUUCUGGUUGGUGUCAGGUGGUACCUCAUAGUAGUUUUGAUUUACAUUUCUCUGAUAAUUUGUGAUGUUGAGCAUCUUUUCAUGUGUUUUUUUUUUUUUUGGGCCAUCUGUAUGUGUUCUUUGCAGAAAUGUCUGUUUCAAUCUUCUGCCCAUUUUUUGACUUGGUUGUUUGUUUUUUUGAUAUUAAGCUGCAGGAGGUGUUUGUGUAUUUUGGAGAUUAAUCCCUUGUCAGUUGCAUUGUUUGCAAAUAUUUUUCACCUAUUCUGUGGGUUGUCUUUUUGUUUUGUUUACGGUUUCCUUUGCUUUGCAAAAACUUUUAAGUUUAAUUAGAUCCCAUUUAUUUUUGUUUUUUUGUCAUUAUUCUAGGAGGUGGAUCUGAGAAGAUAUUGCUGCAGUUUAUGUCAGAGAGUGUUCGGCCUAUGUUUUCCUCUGAGAGUUUUAUAGUAUCCAGUCUUAUGUUUAAGUCUUUAAUCUAUUUUGAGUUUAUUUUUGUGUAUGGUGUUAGAGAAUGUUCUAAUAUCAUUCUUUUACAUGUAGCUGUCCAGUUUUCCCAGCACCGCUUAUUGAAGAGACGGUCUCUCCUCUGCUGUAUGUUCUUGUCUCCUUUAUCAUAUAUUAGAUGCUUUUUUGGGUGUAUUUCUGGGAUUUAUAUAUUCACUCAGAAUUUAUCCAUGUCUUUAAUUUUACCUUUUUUCCCAUUUUUAAAAAGUUUUAUUGAAGUAUAGUUGAUUUACAAGGUUAUGAUAAUUUCGGCUGUACAACAAAGUGAUUCAGUUAUACAUAUACAAACAUCCACACUUUUUCAGAAUAUUUUCCCACCUAGGUUAUCACAGAAUAUUGGGUAGAGUUCUCUGUGUUAUAUAGUGGGUCCCCACUGACCACCAUUCCAUAUACAAUAGUGCCAGCACUAUUUUUAAUAAAGGUAUAUUGAUUUGAUGUUUCAGCUUUAGGAGACAAGAUGUGAUCUGUAUUUAUAUCAUAUGAACUUUAUUAUAUGAUGUUUUAUAUGAUGUUUAUGUUUUUUUAUAUGAUGUUCAGCUUUAUGAGACAUGAUGUGUCUGUAUUUAUAUCAUAUGAACUGUGAAAGAGCUUUCUUCCUGAAUGCAAGUCUUUACUUUUAAAUGAUGACAUUAUUUCUAAAACCUACCAGCUUACCUGUUUAUAUUGAAAUAGGCACUAUUAGACACUUGUCUUGGAAGUAUAGAUAAAUAUACCCAUUUGCGAUGGUAACUGGUACCAUGUGUCAUGAAUCUAAAACAUGCUUAUCCCUUUUACCUAGUAAAUUAUCAUUUGGAGACCAUGCUAGAGAAAAAAACACUAAAGUAACCCCAAGGCUUCUGUGAACAAAAUUUCCAUUAAUGCAUUGUUCCUUAACAGUGACAAAGAGGCAAUUUCCUACAUGUUCAAAUACAAGGGAAAGAUUAAGUAAAUUAUGGCAUAGUUUCCUCCAUUAUACAUAAUAAUAAACAUGUCUUAAUAAGGAAAUUAAUUUUGAAGGACACAGUAUAGCAACUCCAUCCAUAUUAUUAUUACCUAACUAAAACAUCACAUUUAUGUUUUAAUGUCUUUUCUUCAUUCUGUGGUUUUUCAAGGAGGAUAAAAGAAGGUGAAAGUUUCAGUAUAAGAUAACCUUGGUAAGAAUAUUUUAUAAGCCAUAAAACAGUAAGUACUGAGACAUGUGCAUCUCAGUCUGAUGAUCCAAGCUGGCUCAAUUGCAAAGUCAAAUGUGCAGCAGACAAUGCUAGGUAUUCAUGUGAUGUAUGAAUACCUAAUGGAUUUUUGGGGGAGGCCAAAUAAAAGACACUUUUGGCCUGAUAACUGAUUCUGGUUCUGUAAGGAUCCCUUUCUAAUCCUUACUUUACUUGAGGUAGGUACCAGAUGCAAACUAAUCAUUCACUGAAGAUAAAGCUCAGAAACUGGUUGAGGGUGAGCGGGGCAAUAGGAAGAGGAUGAGGGGCACAUUAUUUCACAGAAAGCAUAAUGCAUCCCAUCCAUUUGGUAUUGUCCCCACUAAGAUUUUUUUUAAAGAACUCUAUGGAGAAGAUGGGGUAUAAAGACAGUUAGCUAAGCACAUGGAGUUUCUAUUCUUUUUGUAAGACAUGACAAGCAAGUGAGCAGGGCAUUAAAACCCAGUCAUUGACUGUUUAUAGGUAGAUCACAGAUUGAAUCACAGAGUGGAGGAAUGACAAGGCUAAUUAAUAGUAAGCAACCUAAUCAGAGAACUAUGGUAGCUAUAAAAUGAAGUCAGUAGAACUAGAAAAGAUGGUCAGAGUGAAAAGUUGACAAUUAGGAUUUCCAGCCACAUAUAAUACGUAACUUUAUCCCUCAGGACCCAGAGGAGAGAGGAUUUUCUCCUCCUUUCACUGUAGGCUUAUGGUUCUCCUGGUAGGAGGAACCUGGGAAAAUGAAUCAUACAAAGUCAUUUCAUCAACUUAAUUCCUUAAAUUUACCCUGGCUAACUGUUACAGAUCCUCGGGACAAUAACCAGGGUGUUCAGAAGGGAAGAUGUCCACUGUAUCUGGUUUUUUUUCUUGUAGAACUUGCCACAGUUUUCAAUUAUAUAGUAAUUUGUCUGUUUAGUGUCUGAAGCCUCCACUGGACUGUAAGCUCGAUGGGAUCAGAUACCUUUUCUGUCUACCAUUGUAUUUUCUCUGGCUAGCAAAAUGGUGGUAUUGAAGGAAAAAGAGAGUCAUAUGUGGUGAAAUGAGACAAUUUUGGCUGCCGAGAGGGAAGGGAAAAGGGAGAGUUUGACAUUCGAGACCAUGCAAACAUCACUCUUGGAAAUGCUUUGUUGCCAAAGGAGUGGAAAGGUCCAGGCAGAAGAAAGACAGAAACCCUAAGCAAUGUGGAAGCCUGAGAAAACUGUCUGAGAAAAAAAUCUACUACCCAACAGAUAAACAAUGGUUAUAGGAAGCUGGCUUAUUUAGAGAGCAAAGAUCAUUUGGAAACAAGAGGAGCGAGAAGCAACCAGGAACCUAUUCUUGAGGAGUCACUUGGAACAUAGUUUUAAGUAAAGAAAAAGCUCUACUGAGCAUAUAUAUUCCACAUCCCAAAGAAUUUAAUAAGUCUCUUAUCCUUUACCAAAAGAGGAAAUGUGUCUGUGUUAAAAUGACCAAAUUUAAAAUUCUGCAGUUGAAGUUGUAUGAGAACUUUUUCCAGAGUUAUAUAUACUCUAAUGAUUAAACAAUCUAUACAAAUAAUGGAUGUAAAGCAGAUUUAUCAGUAUGUGUGUGUAUGUGGAGAGUGAGUGUGGACUAUAAGCAAAUGACAUUGAAAAAUAAUGAUUCUUACUUUGUAUGCUUUUCCUUUUCCUUCAUUCAUGCCUUCACAAGAGUUCUCCAGAGAAAUGGAAUCAGUAGGACUCAAUGGGUGGACCUAUGUUCUAUCCAUUUCUUUACUUAUUGUAAGGAAUGGGCUCUUAUGAUUGUGGAAGAAUGUCAAGAUCUACAAUUGAUGAGCCCAAACCCAGGAGCGCUGAUGGUUAAGUUCCAGUCUGAAAGUAAGAGAAGACCUGUGUCUGAGGUCAGACAGGUAAGUGGAGAGAACUCACUCUUCCUUACUCUAACUGUGCUAUUCAUGUCUUCAGCAGGUUGGAUGAGGCCCACCUGCACUGGGGAGGACAAUCUUCCUAUUCAUUUUCCUGAUUCAAAUGCCAAUCUCACCCUGGAGACAUUCUCCGAGAUACUCACAACAGUGUUCAAGUAGAUAGUUCGGUUUCCUGUGGCUCAGUCAAGUUGACAUAAAAUUAACCACUACAAAACUUUUAUCUAAAGGUACAUAAGGAAGUGAGUAGAAUACACCCAAACCUGCAAUUUUAAAAACAUAAUUUUACAGUCUUGGAAUGAAUAGUCAUACUCUAUUACUAGUGCACCAGAACACACUAAAAUGUCCAUGUUACGUCACUACCAGUUGAGUAAAAUACCAACAUUUCAGCCCACUAACAUUUUAUAUCUGUGCUAUCCACAAGAGGUGAUAUUUAAUGAUUUAGCCAGCCUGCUAUGAAAUGAGAGACGUUCAAAUUUAAAAGCAUGCUAUUGAUUAGAUUUAAUGUUUUUCAGCCUAUUUAGCCAGGUAGGCCACUGUAGUAUAAUUUCAAAUUGUAGAUAUUUGUUUAUUAAUAAACAACAUACCAAAGAGUAGUGAUAUCCUUUACUGGAAAGAAUUGAGGCCUUUUAAAAUUAAUAUUUUCUUAACAAUUAUGUUCAAAUAUAUAUAUUUCCUUUCAAAGCAGCACCUUUGAGGAAAAAUGUAGCCAACUGAAUAAUGCUACUGGUGUUCAGAAGUUCGUAUACCACACAAUGAAAUAUUUCCAGCUAUUUUAAUUAUUUUCUAUGACCUCUGAAUCCAGUAGAAUUGUUCAGUGUGAUUUCUUUCUUGAAUUCUCUUGGUGUUAGUAACUUUUGGCCAUUACUUGAUGUAAAGUUCACCCUGGCUUAUAUUAAAAUAAUGAACCAUGGAUUUGAAGGUAAACCAAGAAGAGUUCUGAGACAAUACUGAGCACUAGGAGCAAGGCUGAAAUGAAUGUGGAGCCACUUAACACCAGCUUGAAGGUAUGUGGGGGAGAAGAAAGGAAACUGGGAUGAGAAUCUGAAAAUGUUAUUUUCAACCACGCUUCAGACUUCCUAGGAGGACAGAUGCUCUUCUUUUCCUUCCUCUCCCUUUUUCCUUCAUUGUUUGACACCUGUGUGGUUGGAGCUGAAUUUAUCUACAUCCAAGAGUGUGUUCCUGAAAGACUCAAAGGCAGAGCUUGCCAAAGUUCUGGCUGAAGAGAUUGAUAAUGAAUCAGAUACUACUUCAUAGUGGUAGUUUUUGGUGGUGGUUUGGUUUGACCAGAUUUAAUGAUAAGUCUAUACUUGGGAGAAAGAUAUGAGGAAACACACUGCCCAGAUCGGGACUGGAAGGUUUUCUAUGUAAGGAUAGAUACAGAUUAAUUCUCAUAGCUGAAAUAAUAAUUCUUAAGAAACAUGACUCAAUGGCCUAAUAAAACUAUUAGGAAUAAAUGCUGACCAUAGGAGCAUGAUAAUAUACAUUUUGCUAGAAUAAAAACAUAAAAGAAUGAACAAUGGAAAGAUAAACCAUCAAAUGAUUUUUUUAGCUCUUCUGUGUAUGAUGAACAUUGGGUUUACACUUGUAUGGUGAUCCUUAAUGAGGGUAGCACAUAGUAGUUGGCUAAUAACAUAAUCUAAUCCGUUCACACCUGAGAAAUGUUAUUUUCACAUAAAUCUCUCAAAGCAACUAAAAUGAACUGGAUCUGUGUAAUGAUCAGAAAAAGAAAAAAAAGCAGAGUUCGGAUUCUAGAUGAAAAAUAAAAAUUGAAACUAUUUUCUCCCAUUCUGUAAGUUGUCUUUUUGUUUUCUUUUUGGUUUCCUUUGCUGUGCAAAAGCUUUUCAGUUUGAUGAGUUCCCAUGGGUUUAUUUUUGCUCUACUUCCUAUUGCUUUGGGAGACUGACCUGAGAAAAUAUUCAUAAUGUUGAUGUCAGAGAGUGUUUUGCCUAUGUUUUCUUCUAGGAGUUUGAUGGUGUCCUGUCGUAUAUUUAAGUCUUUCAGCCAUUUUGAGUUUAUUUUUGUGCAUGGUGUGAGGGUGUGUUCUAGUUUCAUUGCUUUGCAUGCAGCUGUCCAGGUUUCCCAGCAAUGCUUGCUGAAUAGACUUUCUUUUUCCCAUUCUAUGUUGAUGCAACUGACAAGGGCUUAAUCUCUAGAAUAUACAAGCAACUUAUACAACUCAACAGCAAAAAAACCAAUCAAUCAAUGGAAAAAUGGGCAAAAGACCUGAAUAGACAUUUCUCCAAAGAAGAUAUACAGAUGGCCAACAAACACAUGAAAAAAUGCUCAACAUCGCUGAUUAUAAGAGAAAUGCAAAUCAAAACUACCAUGAGAUACCACCUCACACCAGUCAGAAUGGCCAUCAUUCAUAAAUCCACAAAUAACAAGUGCUGGAGGGGCUGUGGAGAAAAGGGAACCCUCCUGCACUGCUGGUGGGAAUGUCAACUGGUACAGCCACUAUGGAGAACAGUUUGGAGAUACCUUAGAAAUCUAUACAUAGAACUUCCAUAUGACCCUGCAAUCCCACUCUUGGGCAUCUAUCCGGACAAAACUCUACUUAAAAGAGACACAUGCACCCGCAUGUUCAUUGCAGCACUAUUCACAAUAGCCAGGGCAUGGAAACAACCCAAAUGUCCAUCGACAGAUGAUUGGAUUUAGAAGAUGGGGUAUAUAUACACAAUGGAAUACUACUCAGCCAUAAAAAAGGAUGACAUAAUGCCAUUUGCAGCAACAUGGAUGGAACUAGAGAAUCUCAUACUGAGUGAAAUAAGCCAGAAAGACAAAGACAAAUACCAUAUGAUAUCACUUAUAACUGGAAUCUAACAUCCAGCACAAAUGAACAUCUCCUCAGAAAAGAAAAUCAUGGACUUGGAGAAGAGACUUGUGGUUGCCUGAUGGGAAGGGGAGGGAGUGGGAGGGAUCGGGAGCUUGGGCUUAUCAGACACAACUUAGAAUAGAUUUACAAGGAGAUCCUGCUGAAUAGCAUUGAGAACUAUGUCUAGAUACUCAUGUUGCAACAGAAGAAAUGGUGGGUAAAAACUGUAAUUGUAAUAUAUACAUGUAAGGAUAACCUGACCCCCUUGCUGUACAGUGGGAAAAUAAU